This 254-nucleotide ribosomal RNA is filed under the name uncultured bacterium. RNAcentral's name for it is "partial 16S ribosomal RNA". It matches the Rfam family "Bacterial small subunit ribosomal RNA", at positions 524 to 776 of the family's 1533-position model. The record is from RNAcentral.
UACGUAGGUGGCAAGCGUUGUCCGGAUUUACUGGGCGUAAAGGGCGCGUAGGCGGCCACCGCAAGUCGACUGUGAAAUCUCCGGGCUUAACCCGGAAAGGUCAGCCGAUACUGCGGGGCUAGAGUGCAGAAGGGGCAACUGGAAUUCUCGGUGUAGCGGUGAAAUGCGUAGAUAUCGAGAGGAACACCUGCGGCGAAGGCGGGCUGCUGGGCUGACACUGACGCUGAGGCGCGAAAGCUAGGGGAGCGAACGGG